RNAcentral lists this ribosomal RNA (465 nucleotides) under uncultured bacterium. Its description in RNAcentral is "partial 16S ribosomal RNA". It matches the Rfam family "Bacterial small subunit ribosomal RNA", at positions 338 to 795 of the family's 1533-position model. The record is from RNAcentral.
CCUACGGGUGGCAGCAGUAGGGAAUAUUCCACAAUGGGCGAAAGCCUGAUGGAGCAACGCCGCGUGGGUGAAGAAGGCCUUAGGAUCGUAAAACUUUGUUUUUAGAGAAGAAAGUUCGUGAGCGUAACCGUUUAUGUUUCUACGUUAUCUAAAAAGAAAGCCACGGCCAACUACGGGCGAGCAGCCGCGGUAAUACGUAGGUGGCAAGAGUUAUCCGGAUUUAUUGGGAGUAAAGGGAACGCAGACGGUCUUUUAAGUCUGUUGUGAAAGCCUUCGGCUUAACCGGAGUAUUGCAUUGGAUACUGGCAGCCUUGAGUGCAGAAGAGGAGGGUGGAACUCGAUGUGUAGCGGUGAAAUGCGUAGAUAUAUGGAAGAACACCAGUGGCGAAAGCAGCUCUCUAAUCUGUAACUGACGCUGAGGUUCGAAAGCGUGGGUAGCAAACAGGAUUAGAUACCCCAGUAGUC